This 787-nucleotide ribosomal RNA is filed under the name uncultured archaeon. RNAcentral's name for it is "bacterial SSU rRNA". It matches the Rfam family "Archaeal small subunit ribosomal RNA", at positions 85 to 879 of the family's 1478-position model. The record is from RNAcentral.
ACGGCUCAGUAACACGUAGCUAACCUAACCUUUGGUCAAGCAUAACCUCGGGAAACUGAGGGUAAUACUUGAUAGGAAAUAAUUUCUGGAAUGAUUUAUUUCUGAAACUCGGGCCAAAGGAUGGGGCUGCGGCUGAUUAGCUAGUUGUUGGUGUAAAAGACUAACAAGGCAAUGAUCAGUAAGGGCUCUUAGCGGAGAGGCCCUGAGAAGGAAUCUGAGACACUAUUCCUAGCUCUACGGGGUGCAGCAGUCGAGGAACUUUUACAAUGCUCGAAAGAGUGAUAGAAUAAACCAAAGUGUUCCAUUUUAUGGAACUUUUAUCUGUUGUAAAAAGACAGGUGAAUAAGGACUGGGCAAGACCGGUGCCAGCCGCCGCGGUAAUACCGGCGGUCCAAGUCGUAUCCACAUUUAUUGGGUCUAAAACAUUCGUAGCUUGUUUGAUAAGUUUCUUGUGAAAUCCUAUAUCUCAAGUAUAGGGCGCGCAAGAAAUACUGUUUUACUAGAGACCGGAAGGCGCAAAGAGUAUGAUUGAGGUAGCGGUAAAAUGUUUUAAUCUCAAUUAGACUAACAAUGGCGAAGGCACUUUGCGAGUACGGAUCUGACAGUGAGGGAUGAAGGCUAGGGGCGCAAAAGGGAUUAGAUACCCCUGUAGUCCUAGCAGUAAACACUGCUCACUAAACAUUAGUACCUCCUCGAGAGGUAUUAGUGCUGUAGGGAAGCCGAAGAGUGAGCUACCUGGGAAGUAUAGUCGCAAGACCGAAACUUAAAGGAAUUGGCGGGGGAGCAC